UAAAGGCGUGCGCCACCACCGCCCGGCUAAAUAAAUAAAUCUUAAAAAAAAAAAAAAAAAAGAAAUAGUGACUAAAAACCAUAAGGUUUACCAAUGACUUAAAAUUCCAUGAAGCUGAAGUACCAAUUUACUUAAAAAUUUAAUUUUACUAAAAUUAGCAAUCUCAUAAGCAUCUUUCUACAAAUCUUUCUUUUUCCAGAUUUCUUUAGAAUAAAGACCUAGUGAUUGGAUCAUCAAAAAACUGAAAUGAGCACUUGAAUAAAUACCUUGUAAACCUCUUGUUCUACAGAGAAGACUGACUUUCAGGAUAAUUAAGCAAGUGUGCUCAAGUCACAGCUAGUUAAGUCACCAAACUGGCAUAUAAAUUCUCUCUCUCUUAGAUUUGUAUACUUCAGACACUGUACUUGAUAUAAAUUAUUUCCAGGUCUGGGGACAUGGCUCCCUUGGUAAAGUAUUUGCCUCAAAUCCACAAAGCCCUGGAUUCGAUCCCCAGCACUACAUAAGGCAGAUGUGGUACUCCCACUGGGAAUCCCAGCAGUCUGAAGUACAGGUAGAGAGAUCAGGAAUUCAAGGUCAUUCCCAGCUAUGCAGGGAAUUCCAGGCCAGCUUGGGGUCUAAAUAAAGAAAUAAAUCUUA
Long non-coding RNA from Peromyscus californicus insignis, 636 nucleotides. RefSeq lists it as uncharacterized. The transcript has 2 exons. The record is from RefSeq and is a predicted model, not a curated record. Lineage: Eukaryota; Metazoa; Chordata; Mammalia; Rodentia; Cricetidae.